This 373-nucleotide ribosomal RNA is filed under the name uncultured organism. RNAcentral's name for it is "bacterial SSU rRNA". It matches the Rfam family "Bacterial small subunit ribosomal RNA", at positions 526 to 896 of the family's 1533-position model. The record is from RNAcentral.
CGGGGGGAGCAAGCGUUGUUCGGAUUUACUGGGCGUAAAGGGCGCGUAGGCGGCGCGACAAGUCACUUGUGAAAUCUCUGGGCUCAACCCAGAACGGUCAAGUGAUACUGUCGUGCUAGAGUGCGGAAGGGGCAACUGGAAUUCUUGGUGUAGUGGUGAAAUGCGUAGAUAUCAAGAGGAACACCUGCGGCGAAGGCGGGUUGCUGGGCCGACACUGACGCUGAGGCGCGAAAGCUAGGGGAGCGAACGGGAUUAGAUACCCCGGUAGUCCUAGCCUUAAACGAUGAAUGCUUGGUGUCCGGGGUUAGAUAGUCCCCGGGUGCCGUCGCUAACGCUUUAAGCAUUCCGCCUGGGGAGUACGUGCGCAAGCAUG